This 76-nucleotide transfer RNA is filed under the name Prosthecobacter gellanilyticus. RNAcentral's name for it is "tRNA-Glu". It matches the Rfam family "tRNA". From Rfam's summary of the family: Transfer RNA (tRNA) molecules are approximately 80 nucleotides in length. Their secondary structure includes four short double-helical elements and three loops (D, anti-codon, and T loops). The record is from RNAcentral. Lineage: Bacteria; Pseudomonadati; Verrucomicrobiota; Verrucomicrobiia; Verrucomicrobiales; Verrucomicrobiaceae.
GACCCUGUCGUUCAAAGGAUAGGACACUCGCCUUUCAAGUGAGCAAUGCCGGGUUCAAGUCCCGCCGGGGUCGCCA